UGCAAGUCGAGCGCCGUAGCAAUACGGAGCGGCAGACGGGAGAGUAACACGUGGGAACGUACCCUUUUUCGGAACAACCCAGGGAAACUUGGGCUAAUACCGGAUAAGCCCUUACGGGGAAAGAUUCAUCGCCGAAGGAUCGGCCCGCGUCUGAUUAGCUAGUUGGUGGGGUAAUGGCCCACCAAGGCGACGAUCAGUAGCUGGUCUGAGAGGAUGAUCAGCCUCACUGGGACUGAGACACGGCCCAGACUCCUACGGGAGGCAGCAGUGGGGAAUAUUGGACAAUGGGCGCAAGCCUGAUCCAGCCAUGCCGCGUGGGUGAUGAAGGCCCUAGGGUUGUAAAGCCCUUUCGGCGGGGAAGAUAAUGACGGUACCCGCAGAAGAAGCCCCGGCUAACUUCGUGCCAGCAGCCGCGGUAAUACGAAGGGGGCUAGCGUUGCUCGGAAUCACUGGGCGUAAAGCGCACGUAGGCGGAUUGUUAAGUCAGGGGUGAAAUCCUG
This 500-nucleotide ribosomal RNA is filed under the name uncultured bacterium. RNAcentral's name for it is "bacterial SSU rRNA". It matches the Rfam family "Bacterial small subunit ribosomal RNA", at positions 56 to 604 of the family's 1533-position model. The record is from RNAcentral.